This 1147-nucleotide long non-coding RNA is filed under the name Junco hyemalis (dark-eyed junco). Its description in RNAcentral is "lncRNA (ENSJHYG00000003474.1)". The record is from RNAcentral. Lineage: Eukaryota; Metazoa; Chordata; Aves; Passeriformes; Passerellidae.
UCAGAAACAAAGGACGCUGAUGCUGCUUUUCAUCCUUCUGCCCAAGGAGAAUAAAUGUUUGUGCAAACCUUUUUUCAUGUGGCUGCCCAGAAAUGACCCGAGUGAAGCCAAGAAGUUGAACAUUAAGCAACCUCCCCCGGUGAUGCUGCUGAAAUGAGAGAAUGCAUCCUCUGACACUGUGUGACACAGCCCAGCUGUAAAUUUUCUUUCCUGAAGAUUUGUCACUCUACAUUAUUCCUGCAGUAAACACACACAGAAGAAUAAAACCUAGGACCAUGACUCCACAUCACACCAGUGUCACUUUCUUGCCAGCAGGACCUUAGCUCCAAAAAGCUUGGUGAUGUGCUUUCAAAAUUGGUGGGAGAGCUGGAGGAUGUGCCGAGGAAUCGCUGCCCACGCAUGGCCCCUGACAUCACCCUGGUGUUGGGGAGCACUUGGAGCCUGAGCCCCAGGAGCUGCUGUCUUCAGCAGGAGGCUGAUUUCACCUCCUUCGGCUGGUGAGGUGCGAGGCCUUUGCCAAGGCUGCAGGUUUCCCUGGAGGACAAGACAGCAGUGAAAGAUCACAUCUCACCAAAUCCUUCUGUAGGACGAGGACUCAAAGUGUCACCGUGGAGAAUUAGCAAACCCCAUCAUCCAAAGCCUUUAUUCUCCCAAAAUCUGAAGUCUACUGCUGUGAAGAAAACUCUUAAGAUGCUGGAGUUUGGGAAGGGAGCACUUGCAGUCCUUGGACUGCACAGCUGCCUUUGCAAUAUUCCCAGGAGGGAAUGGUGCAGGAAAGAAGCAAAAAAAGUAAACAGGCAGGAGUCUGGAGCUCAAAGUCCAGAGGCAUCAACACAAAUUCACAUCCUACCCUGUUCCUAAAAGCUUCAGCGAGUUCUUUCCCUGUAUAAUAAGGAAUUUAUAAGUUCUUCCUCAAUUAGUAGCCCUGACAGUGAGAUUUUGGGUGCCCUUGAUGCUGUCACUUUGCUGCCUUGCAUGUCAGCUCCUCACCUGAAAAAGAAGAACAAUCCUACUCAUUUUCCCUUGCCCUGUUCAUCCCUCCAGACUCUCCAUCAGAGGCUCUGCUUCUCACUGGAACUUGCUGCUUGCCCAGCAUGGUAAGUGUUUGCAGUCCUAUCACAGGAUAUUAAUUAAUCAUACAAAUAAA